AUGAAGUUGGGAUUCAGAUCCUACAUUCUACCUGUUAAUGUGGAAUGUAGAAAUGUAGAAUCCUUCCCUCUACACCCCACCGCUUCCGAAGAGUUAACACACCAUGUCGGCUUCACUACUGUGGCUUUAUGGGAAGUCUUUAAAUCAAUUAUUCACUCUCAGUUGUCUGGUCACAUUGCCGCAAACUGCAAAGUGGAAGUGACUGGGAAGAUGGAUGCCCAUCAACUUUUGCCCAGGUGUGUGGGCUCCUGUGUACAUGAUAGAGUGAGUGCCUUUUGCAAUAAAGAUCAAACACAUUGGUGCUGGCUUUCUAUGCGUUCCUUGUUUCUGUAGGCGGCUGAAAAGAUUAGAUUGUGUCCCAGAGAGCGAGAUAUUGCCUCCAGACAAUUUAUAUGGCUUUUAUAUUUAUUUAGAGAGCAGGAAGCCUAGCCCAGCUUCUGCUGUAUGAGGCAGUGACAGGAGAAUUUAAAAGGGCUGUUUCAUUAAUUUUGGACAGAAUUUAUUGCUGACAAAAGACUGCAUUAUUGAUGGUUGGAAGGCAGCACUUGCCUCGUCUCUGAGGAGCUGCGUGGGAGUGCCGCCCCCGCUUGCCUGCAGCCUCCUUGGAGCUGCUGCUGCGGCCAGGGAAACCCUUCCCAGGGGAGGAGGGAGUCGUUCUGGCACAGCGCCUUACUGCCUGCCCGGGGUGCCGGGCUGUGAUGGCAGAGCCUCUUUCUGACUGUACCACUGCAAUCUCUGAACAGGAAGGACAUUUAGAGGUCACACGGCUCCAUCUCUGCACUUCACGGAUGGGGUCCUCGACAUGCACACAGGGCAAGAGAUUUACUGACAUAUGAAGUCAGAAAUCAGGUAGAAAUCAGGUACAGCUGCAUAGCUUCAUUCGCUCUUUUUAUUUUUUUAAAACUCUUUUCUAAAUGACCGUGGCAGGAUGUGCGUGGGUAGCUUUCUAUAUGUUCUUUGCACAGCACUGAACUUUGUUUCUCAAAUAACGACAAUAACAUUAUAUUUGUACAGACUUUAAAUGAUGUAUAAAGAGUUUAAUCUCUCACACAUUCCUUUGAAAUGUGAGGAAUGCAAAGAGCCUCAAGGAUGUUAAUGGUUUCCAGCCACUUGCAAUGGGCUAGGUCUGGGCUAGAUUCCUCGCACAUUAUCAUCUUUGAUGCCAUCACCAAUUUUGUGAGGUGGGUGUUAUAAUCCUCAUUUGUAGAAGCGCAGUACAAUUAAGGAGCUUGUUCAAGGUCUCAGAGAAUGUAAGUAGCAGAGAUUUUUUUUUAAGCAAUCUUAGGAACUUUUGGAAGUUCAGUUCUAGGUUUACACAAUAUGCUUUUGUAAAAGGUUCCAAGCUGGGUUUUUGAAGGUGGGAGGAAAAAACCUUUCUGUUAGGAAUGAAGAAGAGAGUGGUGACUGCUAUGAAACCAAGAGAUGACAAUAAUGUCUAUGAACUAGUUCAUCUUUGGAAACACAGAUUUUCAGUGACCUUGAAACUCAGGCUAGAAUGAAGAGUGUAGGAGAUGAAAGGAAUAGGCUUAUCCAAUGUGAGUAUUAAGAUAAGCAAUUGCCUUCGUUCCCACUUUCCUUUGCCAGAAGAGAAGCUGUCAAUGCAGACUAGAAAUGGGCUGAAAGUAGAAUUAUGGUACAAUCUUUCUUGUAUACAAAUCACUUUCUAGCCUUAAAACUGUACCUCUUUGAUCACUCAGAAAGUGAGCAACUUGACUACCCUGCGACUUUACGAUUUCCAUGACACUUGAUCUGAAAGGAAUCUUAGACACCCAAACUAUCAAAUUCAAACCCCUGAUUUGGAGUAUGAGGACUGAGCCCAAAGAAGGAAGAGAAUGUUGCAAAAGCUAAUGGCAGAAUCAAGGUGUUGCUCAAUAACCACCGUAGAGUUCUCUCUACCACACCAUAUGGCUUUCUAUUAUUUAUAUACAUACAUGUGUGUUUUAUGUUUGCAUAUGUUUAUAACAUAUAUACUAUAUACACACUAGUAUAUAUACAAUGUAUACAUACAUAUUACAUGUGUGUGUAUAUGUGUGUGUGCAUAUAUAUAUAUACGUAUAUAUAUAUUUUUUUCCCCUGCCUAUUUUUUCUUCAAACUGUGGAGGCUAACGACCUACCUUUAGUGUGGUGAAAACAGAAUGACUGUAAAUACUCUAUAAGUGCCUAACUGUAGAAACUUUAAUUAGAAAAGUUAAAACAAUUCUUGUAAAUAGAGCUGUGCUUAGAGUACAGCUGUGCCUGUUCUUUCUGCUUAAAGAUUUUACUCAAGGUGACUUUGAAGUUUGAGAUAAUUAGAUUUAGGAGGUUGGAGGUCAUAGAAUAGGACUGGAGAGGUAUCAGCACUUAGAAAUCCUAAGUGUUAUAAGAAAAGUAGCCUGGACAGAAUUGCACAUUAGUUGAAAACAACAAUGAGUAAAUUGCAAUGAGGCUAUUUAGUUUUAAAACACCUAGAUUGUUUGCUAUAUAGUGGAGGGAGCAUUGCUAUGGGGUAUAAUACAGAUUUAUUUUUCAAUGUCUGACUGAAAUAAGGAAUUCUGAAGAUUGAAUAAUAUAAAAAUAGAAUAGAAUUAGAUCCAAGGCCAAGAUAUUACAUGGAAAAUACAGUAGAAGAGGAACCUUAACUGAUUAAAGGGGGAAUGGGAAAGUAAGCGCAAAUUAAGAAUCCCACAAGAGGCCAACAAAUUCAAAUGGCAAAAUGAGAUAGUUUAGAAUCAGAACAUUAUUCCUCAAAGUGUGACCAUGGAUCACUGGCUUUAGAAUGAUCUGUGAACUGUUUGAAAUGCAGAUUAGAGGGCUCCCGCUUCAGUUCUCUGGAAUCAAAGCCUGGGAAUAGGAUUUGGGAACGAGUGACAAAUACUCUACUUGUUUCUUAUGCACACUAAAGUCUGGAACCACAGGGCUAGGUAGUUGUACACACUGCAAAUAAAUAGGAAAAUAAAAUAUCUAGAAUGACAGUUUGCACAAUUUGAGGAGUAAACCAUUUGGGAAUCUUAUUCUUAAAAUUCAGAAAACCAACUUAAUAAUAAGCAGCCAGUAUCAAUGCAUUUUCCAUUUUUAAUUUGUAGAAUAAAUAUUGAUUAGAAUACUAGAUAAUACACACACUAUUUAUGUUGCUCUGAUUUAUACCCUCCUAUGAUAAGCUAUUAGACAUGAAUUCCCUGGUCUUUAUUUUUUCAAUUUAUUAAAAAAGGAGUGUCUUGAUAUGGAUGGAGUUAUAAGAAAAGAGGUUCAAGGAAGAGAAGACAGGGAUACAGAAAAAGAAUAAAUAUUUUGCUCGAGUAUACCAUAUUUAUUUGUUUAGGCACAAUACAUACAGACUUUAAGUGGUUCUGAUGAUU
RNAcentral lists this long non-coding RNA (3335 nucleotides) under Callithrix jacchus (white-tufted-ear marmoset). RNAcentral's name for it is "lncRNA (ENSCJAG00000087082.1)". The record is from RNAcentral. Lineage: Eukaryota; Metazoa; Chordata; Mammalia; Primates; Cebidae.